Molecule: ribosomal RNA, 1442 nt
Filed under: uncultured organism
Description: SSU rRNA
Rfam family: Bacterial small subunit ribosomal RNA
Source: RNAcentral
UGAACGCUAUCUACAGGCUUAACACAUGCAAGUCGAGGGGCAGCAUGGUCUUAGCUUGCUAAGGCCGAUGGCGACCGGCGCACGGGUGAGUAACACGUAUCCAACCUGCCGUCUACUCUUGGACAGCCUUCUGAAAGGAAGAUUAAUACAAGAUGGCAUCAUGAGUCCGCAUGUUCACAUGAUUAAAGGUAUUCCGGUAGACGAUGGGGAUGCGUUCCAUUAGAUAGUAGGCGGGGUAACGGCCCACCUAGUCUUCGAUGGAUAGGGGUUCUGAGAGGAAGGUCCCCCACAUUGGAACUGAGACACGGUCCAAACUCCUACGGGAGGCAGCAGUGAGGAAUAUUGGUCAAUGGGCGAGAGCCUGAACCAGCCAAGUAGCGUGAAGGAUGACUGCCCUAUGGGUUGUAAACUUCUUUUAUAAAGGAAUAAAGUCGGGUAUGGAUACCCGUUUGCAUGUACUUUAUGAAUAAGGAUCGGCUAACUCCGUGCCAGCAGCCGCGGUAAUACGGAGGAUCCGAGCGUUAUCCGGAUUUAUUGGGUUUAAAGGGAGCGUAGAUGGAUGUUUAAGUCAGUUGUGAAAGUUUGCGGCUCAACCGUAAAAUUGCAGUUGAUACUGGAUAUCUUGAGUGCAGUUGAGGCAGGCGGAAUUCGUGGUGUAGCGGUGAAAUGCUUAGAUAUCACGAAGAACUCCGAUUGCGAAGGCAGCCUGCUAAGCUGCAACUGACAUUGAGGCUCGAAAGUGUGGGUAUCAAACAGGAUUAGAUACCCUGGUAGUCCACACGGUAAACGAUGAAUACUCGCUGUUUGCGAUAUACUGCAAGCGGCCAAGCGAAAGCGUUAAGUAUUCCACCUGGGGAGUACGCCGGCAACGGUGAAACUCAAAGGAAUUGACGGGGGCCCGCACAAGCGGAGGAACAUGUGGUUUAAUUCGAUGAUACGCGAGGAACCUUACCCGGGCUUAAAUUGCAGAUGAAUUACGGUGAAAGCCGUAAGCCGCAAGGCAUCUGUGAAGGUGCUGCAUGGUUGUCGUCAGCUCGUGCCGUGAGGUGUCGGCUUAAGUGUCAUAACGAGCGCAACCCUUGUUGUCAGUUACUAACAGGUUCCGCUGAGGACUCUGACAAGACUGCCAUCGUAAGAUGUGAGGAAGGUGGGGAUGACGUCAAAUCAGCACGGCCCUUACGUCCGGGGCUACACACGUGUUACAAUGGGGGGUACAGAGGGCCGCUACCACGCGAGUGGAUGCCAAUCCCCAAAACCUCUCUCAGUUCGGACUGGAGUCUGCAACCCGACUCCACGAAGCUGGAUUCGCUAGUAAUCGCGCAUCAGCCACGGCGCGGUGAAUACGUUCCCGGGCCUUGUACACACCGCCCGUCAAGCCAUGGGAGCCGGGGGUACCUGAAGUGCGUAACCGCGAGGAGCGCCCUAGGGUAAAACUGGUGACU